Molecule: long non-coding RNA, 915 nt
Organism: Ooceraea biroi (clonal raider ant)
Lineage: Eukaryota; Metazoa; Arthropoda; Insecta; Hymenoptera; Formicidae
Source: RefSeq, a predicted model, not a curated record
AUAUGUCUGUAAAUAUAAUUCGACGGUAGAUUGGUGACAAAAGCAAAAUCCUACAUAUAUUUUAUUAAAACUUAUUUAAUUGAUCAUAACAGAUUGUUGUUUUAAUUAUCAAUCUAUUAAUACAUGUAGAAUAGUUUGUAGAACAGGUAGAAAAGUUUAUUACACUUCUAUAUAAUCAGGUAAAUUUGUAUAGCAGUUGCCUUAAAAACUCUAUUUUGAUAGAUAUUACAGAAAUAAAAAAUGAGUACCAAAAGAGUAAGAUAUAUAACUGCAGAGCAAAAGGAAACACUUGUAGAAUUUAUGAAGCAAAAUGAGAAAUUAAGAUCUGGUAAGUUUUCGGCAUCAUUUACGGCAAAAGAUGCACAAAAAUUGUGGAUGACGCUUGCUGAAGACUUACGUAAGAUACCCAAUGGGGCAGUUAAAGAUUGAAAACAGUGGAGGAAGAUUUGGCAAGAUCUUUAUGGAAAAACAAAGACAAAACAUAAUCAAAUUAAUAAAUAUACAAAAGGAACAGGUGGUGGUCCUUUAUUAUCAAGUGCAGAACAAUUAACAUCUAUUGAACAACAGGUUUUGGAAACAAUACAACAGCAAUUAGUGGCUAUAGUAAUAUUGCAGAACCAGAUGUUGCAUUUGAAUUUAAAGAUAUACAAUACUUGGACGAGAACGUAUUACAUCUGAACACAGACACAAUGAAUGUGGAGACAAUAGACAUGGAUAAAAAUAAUGAAGCUAUAUCAUGCGAUACAGACAUGGAUACAAAUAAUAAUGAAACUAUAUUAUGCGAUACACAAAAUUCUUUUGCAGAGAAUGAAAGGUUAAAGAAAAAAAAGAAUACAAUAAGAACUACUGAUAGAAGAAAAGAAAACAAUGAAACAGCUGAAAAUAUACUUACCAACAACACCAACCAACCACAAA